Molecule: ribosomal RNA, 253 nt
Filed under: uncultured bacterium
Lineage: Bacteria
Description: partial 16S ribosomal RNA
Rfam family: Bacterial small subunit ribosomal RNA
Source: RNAcentral
UACGUAGGGUGCAAGCGUUAUCCGGAAUUAUUGGGCGUAAAGAGCUCGUAGGCGGUCUGUCGCGUCUGCUGUGAAAUCUGGGGGCUCAACCCCCAGCCUGCAGUGGGUACGGGCAGACUAGAGUGCGGUAGGGGAGAUUGGAACUCCUGGUGUAGCGGUGAAAUGCGCAGAUAUCAGGAGGAACACCGAUGGCGAAGGCAGGUCUCUGGGCCACUACUGACGCUGAGAAGCGAAAGCAUGGGGAGCGAACAGG